Molecule: long non-coding RNA, 946 nt
Organism: Pogoniulus pusillus (Red-fronted tinkerbird)
Lineage: Eukaryota; Metazoa; Chordata; Aves; Piciformes; Lybiidae
Exons: 3
Source: RefSeq, a predicted model, not a curated record
CCCCCGGCAUCUAAAGGGCCCUACGCUGCCAAUCUGCAAAGUUGCUUCUGCUGCUGCUGUUUCAGGACCUCAUCCGAAACCCUGGGUAGCGAGGGCGGCGGCAGCAGCCUGCAGCACGGGCGAACGCUGUGCCCAGAGCAGAGCGCCUCAGCUCGCUCCUCUGCGCCAGCAGGAGCCAGCCUAAGAGUGAGAAGCCAGCAAAUGCGGGGAGCGGGAAGCAUGCUGAUGCCCCGGCAGCGAGCAGCUGUCGGCCGGGAAAGGUGCGGCAGGGUUCGGGCAUGGUGCGCUAACCGCCAGAUGCCCGCUCCAGCAGCGCUGCGCGCGUUCCACCGGUUGUGCCCGAAGGACCGCGCCGGGGCAGGCAGGCGGACCCAAGGCAGGAGACCCUGCGAAAUCACAGAAACAUCGCAUUGGAAAAGACCCUUGGGAUCCAAGUCCAACUGAUAACCCUGCUCUACAAGGUUCACCUCUAAACCAUAUCCUCCAGCACCACAUCCAAACAAUCUUUAAACAUGUUCAGGCUUGAUGACUCAGCCACCUCCCUGGGCAGCCAUUCCAAUGCCUGACCACUCCUUCUGUGAAUUUUUUUUCCCUAAUGUCCAGUCUAAACCUACUCAGUUGCAGCUUGAGGCCAUUCCCCCUUGAUCUAUCACUAUUUACCUGUGAGAAGAGACCAGCAUCAACCUCUCCACAACGUCCUUUCAGUGCUUCAUCCAAGCAUUUUGCUUCCUUAAAACACAAGCAAAUGGAUGCAUAGUACAAGGUAUGAGUCUGAGUAAUAAAUUCUUCUGCCUAAGAAGGAUUACUAAGAGGAUUUCUUUCCACCAAUAAAGAGAGUUCCUAGUUCUGCAUUUAGAGCAUCAUCAGGAAUGACACCAUCCUCCAUGAACUCAUCUCCAAGCUUCUUCCACCAUGGCCAGCGAGUGUACUUCAGCAAAGUGUUAUG